RNAcentral lists this ribosomal RNA (400 nucleotides) under Chlamydomonas raudensis. RNAcentral's name for it is "partial small subunit ribosomal RNA". It matches the Rfam family "Eukaryotic small subunit ribosomal RNA", at positions 30 to 432 of the family's 1831-position model. The record is from RNAcentral. Lineage: Eukaryota; Viridiplantae; Chlorophyta; Chlorophyceae; Chlamydomonadales; Chlamydomonadaceae.
GCUUGUCUCAAAGAUUAAGCCAUGCAUGUCUAAGUAUAGUACCUUAUACUGCGAAACUGCGAAUGGCUCAUUAAAUCAGUUAUAAUUCAUUUGAUGGUACUUACUACUCGGAUAACCGUAGUAAUUCUAGAGCUAAUACGUGCGUAAAUCCCGACUUCUGGAAGGGACGUAUUUAUUAGAUAAAAGGCCAGCCGGGUUUCGGCCCGUUCUUUGGCGACUCAUGAUAACUUCACGAAUCGCAUGGCCUUGUGCCGGCGAUGUUUCAAUCAAAUAUCUGCCCUAUCAACUUUCGAUGGUAAGGUAUUGGCUUACCAUGGUUACAACGGGUAACGGGGAAUUAGGGUUCGAUUCCGGAGAGGGGGCCUGAGAAAUGGCCACCACUUCCAAGGAAGGCAGCAGG